Molecule: transfer RNA, 74 nt
Filed under: Clostridium sp. AF34-10BH
Lineage: Bacteria; Bacillati; Bacillota; Clostridia; Eubacteriales; Clostridiaceae
Description: tRNA-Gly
Rfam family: tRNA
About the family: Transfer RNA (tRNA) molecules are approximately 80 nucleotides in length. Their secondary structure includes four short double-helical elements and three loops (D, anti-codon, and T loops).
Source: RNAcentral
GCAGGCAUUGUAUAACAGGCUAAUACACUGGUUUGCCGAACCAGAGACUGCGGGUUCGAAUCCCGUUGCUUGCU